UGCCAGCCACCGCGGUCAUACAAGAAGCCCAAAUUAACCGUACGCGGCGUAAAGUGUGGUGUUAUGCUAUCGCAGAAGCUAAGAUCAAAGUGCAACUGAGCUGUCAUAAGCACAAGAUGCACCUAAAACCAUCCUUAAAACGAUCUCAGCACCCCUGACCUAUUAAACUCCACGAAAGCUAAGGCCCAAACUGGGAUUAGAUACCCCACUAUGCUUAGCCCUAAAUCCUGAUGCUUACUCCACCAAAGCAUCCGCCCGAGAACUACGAGCACAAACGCUUAAAACUCUAAGGACUUGGCGGUGCCCCAAACCCACCUAGAGGAGCCUGUUCUAUAAUCGAUAACCCACGAUACACCCGACCACUCCUUGCCAGGGCAGCCUAUAUACCGCCGUCGCCAGCUCACCUCCCCUGAAAGUGUAACAGUGAGCAUAAUAGCAACCCGCUAAUAAGACAGGUCGAGGUAUAGCCUAUGAAGUGGAAGAAAUGGGCUACAUUUUCUAACAUAGAAAAACGGAAGGGGGUAUGAAACAACCCCCAGAAGGCGGAUUUAGCAGUAAAAUGAGACAAUAGUGCUCACUUUAAGUUGGCCCUGAGGCACGUACAUACCGCCCGUCACCCUCCUCACAAGCUAUAAACCCCUUAAUACACAACCUAGCUGAAGAUGAGGUAAGUCGUAACAAGGUAAG
Molecule: ribosomal RNA, 687 nt
Filed under: Anarhynchus frontalis
Lineage: Eukaryota; Metazoa; Chordata; Aves; Charadriiformes; Charadriidae
Description: partial 12S ribosomal RNA
Rfam family: Bacterial small subunit ribosomal RNA
Source: RNAcentral